CGGGGCGUAAUAUAAUGGUAGUAUACUGGCUUCGGGAGUCAGCUGUUCCAGUUCAAAUCUGGACGCCCCGA
This 71-nucleotide transfer RNA is filed under the name Candidatus Nealsoniibacteriota bacterium. Its description in RNAcentral is "Candidatus Nealsonbacteria bacterium tRNA-Pro". It matches the Rfam family "tRNA". From Rfam's summary of the family: Transfer RNA (tRNA) molecules are approximately 80 nucleotides in length. Their secondary structure includes four short double-helical elements and three loops (D, anti-codon, and T loops). The record is from RNAcentral. Lineage: Bacteria; Candidatus Nealsoniibacteriota.